UACGUAGGGUGCAAGCGUUAAUCGGAAUUACUGGGCGUAAAGCGUGCGCAGGCGGUUGUGCAAGACAGAUGUGAAAGCCCCGGGCUUAACCUGGGAACUGCGUUUGAAACUGGGAGACUUGAGUGUGGCAGAGGGGGGUGGAAUUCCACGUGUAGCAGUGAAAUGCGUAGAUAUGUGGAGGAACACCGAUGGCGAAGGCAGCCCCCUGGGUCAACACUGACGCUCAUGCACGAAAGCGUGGGGAGCAAACAGG
RNAcentral lists this ribosomal RNA (253 nucleotides) under uncultured bacterium. Its description in RNAcentral is "partial 16S ribosomal RNA". It matches the Rfam family "Bacterial small subunit ribosomal RNA", at positions 524 to 776 of the family's 1533-position model. The record is from RNAcentral.